Non-coding RNA from Salmo salar (Atlantic salmon), 54 nucleotides. The record is from Rfam. NCBI's taxonomy places the organism in Eukaryota, Metazoa, Chordata, Actinopteri, Salmoniformes, Salmonidae.
CACUGGACUGACUGUAAGUCGCUCUGGAUAAGAGCAUCUGCUAAAUGACUGAAA